GUGGAUUAGAUACCCUAGUAGUCCACACUGUAAACGAUGAAUACUAGGUGUGGGGGGACUGACCCCUUCCGUGCCGGAGUUAACACAAUAAGUAUUCCACCUGGGGAGUACGACCGCAAGGUUGAAACUCAAAGGAAUUGACGGGGGCCCGCACAAGCAGUGGAGUAUGUGGUUUAAUUCGAAGCAACGCGAAGAACCUUACCAGGUCUUGACAUCCGACUAACGAAGUAGAGAUACAUUAGGUGCCCUUCGGGGAAAGUCGAGACAGGUGGUGCAUGGCCGUCGACAACU
RNAcentral lists this ribosomal RNA (291 nucleotides) under uncultured bacterium. RNAcentral's name for it is "partial 16S ribosomal RNA". It matches the Rfam family "Bacterial small subunit ribosomal RNA", at positions 773 to 1060 of the family's 1533-position model. The record is from RNAcentral.